ACAAAGGCAAGCAAAAGACUUCCA
This 24-nucleotide small nuclear RNA is filed under the name Arabidopsis thaliana (thale cress). RNAcentral describes it as "snRNA_11860". The record is from RNAcentral. Lineage: Eukaryota; Viridiplantae; Streptophyta; Magnoliopsida; Brassicales; Brassicaceae.